RNAcentral lists this small RNA (20 nucleotides) under Arabidopsis thaliana (thale cress). RNAcentral describes it as "ATSL231390". Lineage: Eukaryota; Viridiplantae; Streptophyta; Magnoliopsida; Brassicales; Brassicaceae. The record is from RNAcentral.
AAAAAAAGAAGAAAAAAAGG